AAAGUUGUCUGUCACCAGCCUGCCGCUGCCCCAUGCAUUUUAUGAAGAGUCCCACAGCAGUUCUUCCGGCGGACAGUCUUGCAGCAAGUGAUAGGCACCAGUCACUGUGCUGCGUGCAAAUUUGCUCCAGGCCAUGAUAAGGGCCCCCCCCUCUCUGUUGGAUUGGAGAUCAACUUCACAGUUCAGAGUUGAUCGCUAAAAAUACAUUAAAAGGGC
RNAcentral lists this long non-coding RNA (216 nucleotides) under Rhinopithecus bieti (black snub-nosed monkey). RNAcentral's name for it is "lncRNA (ENSRBIG00000046385.1)". Lineage: Eukaryota; Metazoa; Chordata; Mammalia; Primates; Cercopithecidae. The record is from RNAcentral.